GACGAACGCUGGCGGCGUGCUUAACACAUGCAAGUCGAACGGAAAGGCCCUGCUUGCAGGGUACUCGAGUGGAGAACGGGUGAGUAACACGUGGGUGAUCUGCCCUGCACUUCGGGAUAAGCCUGGGAAACUGGGUCUAAUACCGGAUAGGAGCCAUUUUUAGUGUGAUGGUUGGAAAGUUUUUUCGGUGUAGGAUGAGCUCGCGGCCUAUCAGCUUGUUGGUGGGGUAAUGGCCUACCAAGUCGGCGACGGGUAGCCGGCCUGAGAGGGUGGACGGCCAAAUUGGGACUGAGAUACGGCCCAGCCUCCUACGGGAGGAAACAGAGAGGAAUAAUGCACAAUGGGGGCAAGACUGAUGCAGCGAGGCCGCGUGGGGGAUGACGGACUUCGGGUUGUAAACUCCUUUCGAUAGGGACGAAGCUUUUUGUGACGGUACCUAAAAAAGAAGCACCGGCUAAAUACGUG
RNAcentral lists this ribosomal RNA (465 nucleotides) under uncultured bacterium. RNAcentral describes it as "partial 16S ribosomal RNA". It matches the Rfam family "Bacterial small subunit ribosomal RNA", at positions 28 to 507 of the family's 1533-position model. The record is from RNAcentral.